GGUUAAGCUAAUAAGAGCGCAGGGUGGAUGCCUUGGCACUAAGAGCCGAAGAAAGACGUGAUAAGCUGCGAAAAGCUGCGGGGAGGAGCAAAUAUCUAGUGAUCCGCAGAUAUCUGAAUGGGGAAACCCGGCGGAGGAAGACUCCGUCACCGUUAACUGAAUCCAUAGGUUAACGGAGGGAACCCGGUGAACUGAAACAUCUAAGUAGCCGGAGGAAGAGAAAGAAACAUCGAUACCGGGAGUAGCGGCGAGCGAAACCGGCAGAGCCCAAACCGAGAUGCGUGCAUUUCGGGGUUCGGACUGCACAAGUGACUGAUAAGGAUAACGGAAUGGAACUGGAAAGACCAUCCAUAGAGGGUGAAAGACCCGUACGUGAAAUCUGCAUCAGCGCGGCAGGAUCCAGAGUAGGACGAGACACGUGAAACCUUGUCUGAAUAAGCGGGGACCACCCCGUAAGGCUAAAUACUCCUUAGUGACCGAUAGCGCAUAGUACUGUGAAGGAAAGGUGAAAAGAACCCCGGGAGGGGAGUGAAAGAGAACCUGAAACCCUGUGUUUACAAGCUGUGGAACACCCAUACGUGGUGAACCGCGUACUUUUUGUAGAACGGUCCGGCGAGUUACCGAUCUUGGCAAGGUUAAGCACUUAAGGUGUGGAGCCGAAGGGAAACCAAGUCUUAAUAGGGCAUAAAGUCAAUGUCGGUAGACCCGAAACCGGGUGAUCUAUCCAUGUCCAGGUUGAAGCUGUCGUAAAAGGCGGUGGAGGACCGAACGCACAUCCGUUGAAAAGGGUGGCGAUGAGGUGUGGAUAGGGGAGAAAUUCCAAUCGAACCCGGAGAUAGCUGGUUCUCCUCGAAAUAGCUUUAGGGCUAGCCUC
This 874-nucleotide ribosomal RNA is filed under the name Prevotella sp. Its description in RNAcentral is "partial 23S ribosomal RNA". It matches the Rfam family "Bacterial large subunit ribosomal RNA", at positions 1 to 883 of the family's 2925-position model. Lineage: Bacteria; Pseudomonadati; Bacteroidota; Bacteroidia; Bacteroidales; Prevotellaceae. The record is from RNAcentral.